RNAcentral lists this ribosomal RNA (477 nucleotides) under uncultured bacterium. Its description in RNAcentral is "partial 16S ribosomal RNA". It matches the Rfam family "Bacterial small subunit ribosomal RNA", at positions 29 to 523 of the family's 1533-position model. The record is from RNAcentral.
AGUGAACGCUGGCGGCGUGCCUAACACAUGCAAGUCGAACGAUGAUGAUGGAGCUUGCUCUAUCUGAUUAGUGGCGCACGGGUGAGUAAUGCAUAGAUAAUGUGCCCCUUAGUUCGGAAUAGCCACUGGAAACGGUGAUUAAUACCGGAUACUCCUUCUUGUCUCAAGGCAAGUCGGGAAAGUUUUUCGCUAAGGGAUCAGUCUAUGUUCCAUCAGGUAGUUGGUGAGGUAAUGGCUCACCAAGCCUAUGACGGAUAUCUGGUUUGAGAGGAUGAUCAGACACACUGGAACUGAGACACGGUCCAGACUCCUACGGGAGGCAGCAGUGAGGAAUAUUGCACAAUGGAGGAAACUCUGAUGCAGCAACGCCGCGUGGAGGAUGACGCAUUUCGGUGUGUAAACUCCUUUUAUUAGGGAAGAUAAUGACGGUACCUAAUGAAUAAGCACCGGCUAACUCCGUGCCAGCAGCCGCGGUAA